UUUUUUCAAAUUGUUCUUUGUGCUGGUCAUUCAACUUAUUGCUUUAAGUUAUCCCCGAAACCACUAAUUAUAUCCUGUUGUAAAUGUUUAAAUACAAAGGAGUAGGUCCGGUAAGGACCGAUUUUGGCCUCAAAUUUCAGGUUCAUCUAACGAAAGAUUUUGACCACUUUUUAAACACUUAAGUGUCUAUUUCAUUUGAAUCAAUUAGUUUAUGUGAAAGAUUUUAACUGAUAUAGUCAUAAAAAACGAUCCGAUUCGAGCUCAAAUAUGAAAAAUCUACCAAAUAUGCC
Molecule: long non-coding RNA, 290 nt
Filed under: Mytilus galloprovincialis (Mediterranean mussel)
Lineage: Eukaryota; Metazoa; Mollusca; Bivalvia; Mytilida; Mytilidae
Source: RNAcentral